RNAcentral lists this ribosomal RNA (171 nucleotides) under uncultured bacterium. Its description in RNAcentral is "partial 16S ribosomal RNA". The record is from RNAcentral.
CACGCUGUAAACGAUGAUGAUUAGGUGCUAGGGAGUAUCGACCCUCCUUAGUACCAUAGCUAACGCGUUAAAUCAUCCGCCUGGGNCGGUAAGCGAGGAACCUUACCAAGUCUUGACAUGUACCUGCAUACAUUGGAAACAGUGUAGCCUUCGAGGGUGGUACACAGGUGC